This 244-nucleotide unclassified non-coding RNA is filed under the name Glomeraceae sp. RNAcentral describes it as "partial contains 5.8S ribosomal RNA and internal transcribed spacer 2". The stretch from base 1 to 71 matches the Rfam family "5.8S ribosomal RNA", at positions 84 to 154 of the family's 154-position model. The record is from RNAcentral. Lineage: Eukaryota; Fungi; Glomeromycota; Glomeromycetes; Glomerales; Glomeraceae.
GUGAAUCAUCAAAUCUUUGAACGCAAAUUGCACUCUCUGGUAUUCCGGAGAGUAUGCCUGUUUGAGGGUCAGUUUAUAUAAAAAUCGGUUUGGUUGAUGCAUUUCGUGGUGACGCACCGGAUUUGGGUCGUCUUGCUUUCGGUUAAGUGACCUAAAAUUUCGCAUGAUUAAUUUCGAACGCAUUUAAAUGAUUUUACUUACGUUUGCGAUAUCGAAUACUAGGCGUGGUCAUCCUCAUGGUUCG